Molecule: transfer RNA, 72 nt
Filed under: Camelus ferus (Wild Bactrian camel)
Lineage: Eukaryota; Metazoa; Chordata; Mammalia; Artiodactyla; Camelidae
Rfam family: tRNA
About the family: Transfer RNA (tRNA) molecules are approximately 80 nucleotides in length.
Source: Rfam by way of RNAcentral
GUGGGUACAGCUUAACAGUAGAGCACAUGCUUAGCAUGCACAAGGUCCUGGGUUCAAUCCCCAGUACCUCCA